UGUCUCAGCGGAUUCCAGGUUCCAGCUGUAUUUCUAAAGAUUUGUGGGACUCUGCCCUGGGGAGAAGAGCAGAGGGAAACACGAAGGCCAAAACAGCAAAGGCCAGGGAGGCAAGGCCAGCCAGCAGUGGGGCUGGGUGCCCAGUGCUCCUGGGGCAGCUGGGUGGCCACGAGGUCUUCACAGGUCCAGAGACCCGGAGCUUCUCAGCAAGCUGAAUGAGGCAGCGUCCCAGGGGUCCAGAAGCCCAGCCUCGCCCGGCGCUGACUUCAAGAAUGAAGCCGUGGACCUUCGCAGUG
This 296-nucleotide long non-coding RNA is filed under the name Homo sapiens (human). Its description in RNAcentral is "HSALNT0390048". The record is from RNAcentral. Lineage: Eukaryota; Metazoa; Chordata; Mammalia; Primates; Hominidae.